CAGAAGAUUCUUGGAAGAAUUUUCGAUACGAAAUCAGAAUAUAUCCACAUAAGGAUUCUGAACAUAAACGAGAAAUCCAAGGUUUGUUCAAGGAUAAGAAAAUCUAGUGGGGGAUAAACUCCAUUAACCAUCAAAAUUUCCCACUCUCAACCUGGUACACGAAAUCAGAUCAAAUGACCAAUAGAUUGAAGAGACACCAAAAAACGACAAAAAACCAAUACCUUCAGAAGAUUCUUGGAAUAAUUUUCGAUACGAAAUCAGAAUAUAUCCACAUAAGGAUUCUGAAAAUAAACGAGAAAUCCAAAGUUUGUUCAAAGAUAAGAAAAUCUAAAGGGGGAUAAACUCCAUAAACCAUCAAAAUUUCCCACUCUCAACCCGGUACACGAAAUCAGUUCAAAUCACCAAUAGAUUGAAGAGACACCAAAACACGAAGAGCAACAUCUGCGGCAAAGCAAGACAGAAAUAGCAGAAUAUCAAAAGCCCAAUCCUUCAGAAGAAUCUUGG
Molecule: long non-coding RNA, 504 nt
Filed under: Olea europaea subsp. europaea
Lineage: Eukaryota; Viridiplantae; Streptophyta; Magnoliopsida; Lamiales; Oleaceae
Source: RNAcentral